UGCUAUACAUGCAAGUCGAGCGGACCAAUAGAAGCUUGCUUCUGUUGGUUAGCGGCGGACGGGUGAGUAACACGUGGGCAACCUGCCUGUAAGACUGGGAUAACUUCGGGAAACCGGAGCUAAUACCGGAUAAUUCAUCCCCUCGCAUGAGGGGGUGCUGAAAGUCGGUUCACGCUGACACUUACAGAUGGGCCCGCGGCGCAUUAGCUAGUUGGUGAGGUAAUGGCUCACCAAGGCGACGAUGCGUAGCCGACCUGAGAGGGUGAUCGGCCACACUGGGACUGAGACACGGCCCAGACUCCUACGGGAGGCAGCAGUAGGGAAUCUUCCACAAUGGACGAAAGUCUGAUGGAGCAACGCCGCGUGAGCGAUGAAGGCCUUCGGGUCGUAAAGCUCUGUUGUUAGGGAAGAACAAGUACCGGAGUAACUGCCGGUACCUUGACGGUACCUAACCAGAAAGCCACGGCUAACUACGUGCCAGCAGCCGCGGUAAUACGUAGGUGGCAAGCGUUGUCCGGAAUUAUUGGGCGUAAAGCGCGCGCAGGCGGUCCUUUAAGUCUGAUGUGAAAGCCCACGGCUCAACCGUGGAGGGUCAUUGGA
Molecule: ribosomal RNA, 600 nt
Filed under: Bacillus aestuarii
Lineage: Bacteria; Bacillati; Bacillota; Bacilli; Caryophanales; Bacillaceae
Description: bacterial SSU rRNA
Rfam family: Bacterial small subunit ribosomal RNA
Source: RNAcentral